AAUCCAUAGGUUAAUGAGGCGAACCGGGGGAACUGAAACAUCUAAGUACCCCGAGGAAAAGAAAUCAACCGAGAUUCCCCCAGUAGCGGCGAGCGAACGGGGAGGAGCCCAGAGCCUGAAUCAGCAUGUGUGUUAGUGGAAGCGUCUGGAAAGGCGCGCGAUACAGGGUGACAGCCCCGUACACAAAAGCGCAUGUGCUGUGAGCUCGAUGAGUAGGGCGGGACACGUGGUAUCCUGUCUGAAUAUGGGGGGACCAUCCUCCAAGGCUAAAUACUCCUGACUGACCGAUAGUGAACCAGUACCGUGAGGGAAAGGCGAAAAGAACCCCGGCGAGGGGAGUGAAAAAGAACCUGAAACCGUGUACGUACAAGCAGUGGGAGCCCCACCACUAAGCCAGUGGUGAACUCCACAUACGCAUCCUUUGCUGAGGAUACGGUUAACGGAGCGAAAGCGACGUUCAACCGCAAAAGAAGCAGAGGGGGCUUAGUGGUGGGGUGACUGCGUACCUUUUGUAUAAUGGGUCAGCGACUUAUAUUCUGUAGCAAGGUUAACCGUAUAGGGGAGCCGGAGGGAAACCGAGUCUUAAUUGGGCGUUAAGUUGCAGGGUAUAGACCCGAAACCCGGUGAUCUAGCCAUGGGCAGGUUGAAGGUUGGGUAACACUAACUGGAGGACCGAACCGACUAAUGUUGAAAAAUUAGCGGAUGACCUGUGGCUGGGGGUGAAAGGCCAAUCAAACCGGGAGAUAGCUGGUUCUCCCCGAAAGCUAUUUAGGUAGCGCCUCGUGA
This 786-nucleotide ribosomal RNA is filed under the name Salmonella enterica. RNAcentral's name for it is "partial 23S ribosomal RNA". It matches the Rfam family "Bacterial large subunit ribosomal RNA", at positions 161 to 887 of the family's 2925-position model. The record is from RNAcentral. Lineage: Bacteria; Pseudomonadati; Pseudomonadota; Gammaproteobacteria; Enterobacterales; Enterobacteriaceae.